GUGGGAGUGGCCAGGGCGGGCCACAUUUGGGCUAAAGGCCAGGUGAGGGGGCUGGGCGUCCCAGAGGAAUUGGUCUGGGGCAGGUUGGGACUGAGUCGCUGGCAGAGAGAGGGGACCACAGGAGUGUGGGUCCUUCACUCCUAGGAAAGCGCAGGAGGUGAGAGUGGACUUCCUUCUAGGGGUUCAAACACCAAGGGUGGCCUGUGGAGAGAACACAGGAUGGCAGAGCCUUGGAAAGCUAAAAAGGUUUCGAAAGACAAGGGCAGAAACCUCAGUGAUAGCAGUCAGCAGUGCCUGGAUUUCCUGUGGCUUACAUUUACCUUUUGAACACAGGUGAAACCUUUCUCUUACUACUCCAUUCUCAAGGAGCCAGGACGUCUCCAGCUGAUGUAAUCUUGGCCUGGACUGUCACAGCAUCACCGGAGGUCUCAGCUGUGACCAGAGGCAAAAAUGGAGUUAUGCCUGGACAUGCCAUAGCCCCCCUGCAGGCAGGAAAACAAGGCCUAAACAUAAUUUAAUCUUGCAAUGCUUUUCCCCCAAAGUUAUGUAGACUUGCUCUUGACAUCAACCCAUGUAUAAUUUACUGUGGCAUGCGAGGCUAGAAUCUAACCUUUCUUGAGGCAGUUACCCUGGCCUGACAUUGUUUAUGAAUAACUCAUCCAUUUCACACUUAUUCAGAAUGAAAAUCCUUAUCAUAUAUUACAUUUUCAUUUUUCUCUUUUUUCUCCUGUAUCUCUUAAGAAAGAGGAUCAAGGGAUGGGUGGAGGGCAUAGAGAGGGAAGGGAAAGCAGAUGAAAAAGAAAUUAUGAUCUCUUAUGUACAUGUACCAACCUCCCACAAGGAAUGUAAGCAUUAUGUUCUACACAUAUGUACUAAUACACUAAAAUUUAAAAAUUAUCAUUCAAGAUUAAUAAAAAAUUUUAGUCAUUUGGG
RNAcentral lists this long non-coding RNA (933 nucleotides) under Heterocephalus glaber (naked mole-rat). Its description in RNAcentral is "lncRNA (ENSHGLG00000046067.1)". The record is from RNAcentral. Lineage: Eukaryota; Metazoa; Chordata; Mammalia; Rodentia; Bathyergidae.